Molecule: ribosomal RNA, 232 nt
Filed under: uncultured bacterium
Lineage: Bacteria
Description: partial 16S ribosomal RNA
Rfam family: Bacterial small subunit ribosomal RNA
Source: RNAcentral
UCGGAAUCACUGGGCGUAAAGCGCACGUAGGCGGCUUUCUAAGUCAGGGGUGAAAUCCUGGAGCUCAACUCCAGAACUGCCUUUGAUACUGGAGAGCUUGAGUCCGGAAGAGGUGAGUGGAACUCCGAGUGUAGAGGUGAAAUUCGUAGAUAUUCGGAAGAACACCAGUGGCGAAGGCGGCUCACUGGUCCGGUACUGACGCUGAGGUGCGAAAGCGUGGGGAGCAAACAGG